Molecule: long non-coding RNA, 1132 nt
Organism: Talpa occidentalis (Iberian mole)
Lineage: Eukaryota; Metazoa; Chordata; Mammalia; Eulipotyphla; Talpidae
Exons: 4
Source: RefSeq, a predicted model, not a curated record
GCUGCAUCUCAAUCUCUUGUGCCACCAGAGAGGCCCUACCUGGCAAUGUCUAAAGAAAGUUUUCUUGCUGGCGUUCUUGUAGAUGUGCCUCCUGCACUUGCGGUGCUUGUACACUGAGCAAGAAAUUCCAGGUACUUUCUUACUUACUUGGACUGUGCACUUUGCAUUUGAAGUUUGCUUCUCCCUCAUCACUGCUGAUGAGUCACCAGAAGAAAAACUGCUUUGACAAACUUCCAUAGCUGCCUUUGUUGCUCUGUGUUGACAAGAAAAGAGAAUGCUGUUGGCAAAAUUUGACACAGCUGGCUGCUUGUUUUCUUGGAGGACCCAAAGCUGACAUGGCUAAUCACUCAUGACACUUUCCUGCUGAGCCCACUUGUAGAUGCAGACUGCUACAGACAGUAAGUGCCAAUUGAUCAGAGUUGGCAAACAAGAUGGGAUCUAUUUGCAACCCUUGGUCUCGAACUGUCAGGCACCAUGCUCUUUGCUGCUUUGAGACUGACUCUAUCCAGAGACAUCACCAUGUAGACCUGGAAUAGAACUGAAGAGACAAGUAAGUGACCGAGCACAAGAGGACAAGGUUUGUAACUCACAGGAAGAGCAUAUUCAGGUAUCUACGGCUCAUGGAUACUGGAUCCCAAAAAGAAUGAUUAAAGGAAUUGACGUGAACCUGACCUUCAACCUGAAGCAGAGCUGUGCCCAAUAGACCUCCAGUCUUGGGAGCAAGAAACAGACUUGCAUAUUCACAAGUGAGAAAUACGUAUGAGUACUCACUGUGUUUGUUGUUACAAGCCACUGAGAUUUGGGGAUUGAUUUUUAUGCAGUGUUAUUACAACAAUUGUUGACUAACACUACAGGUGUGUAGUAUUUGAAGUUCUCGUCUGCCUUUGAUGGACAGCCUCUCAAUGCAAGCAGAGUGCCUGAGCCUCGCCAGAUGUUACCCAUUGGAGCAAUGUAGCUGUGUGACUGGGAAUAGAAGCUUCGCUUACCUCACCCUGUGAGCUCAGCACACUGAUGGCAUCUAAGACAGGUAGAAAGCAUGGCUCAGAUGCAGGUGGUCAUGCCACCCUAUAAGGAGAUGCAUCAUUAACUUCAUAGCAAUAAAUUAAAGUGGUUUCCACUUGCUUAUCAUAUC